This 465-nucleotide ribosomal RNA is filed under the name uncultured bacterium. Its description in RNAcentral is "partial 16S ribosomal RNA". It matches the Rfam family "Bacterial small subunit ribosomal RNA", at positions 339 to 795 of the family's 1533-position model. The record is from RNAcentral.
CUACGGGGUGCAGCAGUGAGGAAUAUUGCGCAAUGGGGGAAACCCUGACGCAGCGACGCCGCGUGGAUGAUGAAGGCCUUAGGGUCGUAAAAUCCUGUCAGGUGGGAAGAAGUAGAUAUAGAUUAAUACUCUAUUUCUUUGACGGUACCACCAAAGAAAGCACCGGCUAACUCCGUGCCAGCAGCCGCGGUAAUACGGAGGGUGCAAACGUUGUUCGGAAUUACUGGGCGUAAAGCGCGCGUAGGCGGUUUGUUAAGUCAGAUGUGAAAGUCCAUGGCUCAACUAGGGAAGUGCAUUUGAAACUGGCAGACUUGAGUACUGGAGGGGGUGAUGGAAUUCCCGGUGUAGAGGUGAAAUUCGUAGAUAUCGGGAGGAAUACCGGUGGCGAAGGCGAUCACCUGGCCAGAUACUGACGCUGAGGUGCGAAAGCGUGGGGAGCAAACAGGAUUAGAUACCCAAGUAGUC